RNAcentral lists this ribosomal RNA (400 nucleotides) under uncultured bacterium. RNAcentral describes it as "partial 16S ribosomal RNA". It matches the Rfam family "Bacterial small subunit ribosomal RNA", at positions 338 to 735 of the family's 1533-position model. The record is from RNAcentral.
CCUACGGGUGGCAGCAGUGAGGAAUAUUGGUCAAUGGACGGGAGUCUGAACCAGCCAAGCAGCGUGCAGGAAGACGGCUCUAUGGGUUGUAAACUGCUUUUGUACAAGGGUAAACCUGAGUACGUGUAUUCAGCUGAAAGUACUUUACGAAUAAGGAUCGGCUAACUCCGUGCCAGCAGCCGCGGUAAUACGGAGGAUCCGAGCGUUAUCCGGAUUUAUUGGGUUUAAAGGGUGCGUAGGCGGAUUGAUAAGUUAGUGGUGAAAGGUUCGGGCUUAACUCGGGAACUGCAUUUAAUACUGUUGAUCUAGAGAGUAGAUGAGGUAGGCGGAAUGUAUGGUGUAGCGGUGAAAUGCUUAGAGAUCAUACAGAACACCGAUUGCGAAGGCAGCUUACCAAUCU